Molecule: transfer RNA, 65 nt
Filed under: Dipodomys ordii (Ord's kangaroo rat)
Lineage: Eukaryota; Metazoa; Chordata; Mammalia; Rodentia; Heteromyidae
Rfam family: tRNA
About the family: Transfer RNA (tRNA) molecules are approximately 80 nucleotides in length. Their secondary structure includes four short double-helical elements and three loops (D, anti-codon, and T loops). Further hydrogen bonds mediate the characteristic L-shaped molecular structure. tRNAs have two regions of fundamental functional importance: the anti-codon, which is responsible for specific mRNA codon recognition, and the 3' end, to which the tRNAs corresponding amino acid is attached (by aminoacyl-tRNA synthetases). tRNAs cope with the degeneracy of the genetic code in two manners: having more than one tRNA (with a specific anti-codon) for a particular amino acid; and 'wobble' base-pairing, i.e. permitting non-standard base-pairing at the 3rd anti-codon position.
Source: Rfam by way of RNAcentral
GGUGACUCAGUGGUAGAGCACUUGCCUUGUAUGCAUGAGGCCCUGGGUUCGAUUCCUCAGUACCA